AAUGAACGUUGGCGGCGUGGAUUAGGCAUGCAAGUCGAGCGAGAAGUUUUAGAAAGAUACUUCGGUUGAUUUCUGGAAUGGACAGCGGCGAAAGGGAGAGUAACGAGUAGAUACGUACCCAGGGGUUCGGGAUAGCCAUGCGAAAGCGUGAGUAAUACCGAAUAAUGUCUCCGGACCAAAGAUUUAUUGCCCUUGGAGCGGUUUGCUUACUAUUAGCUUGUUGGUGGGGUAAAGGCCUACCAAGGCUUAGAUGGUUAGCGGGUGUGAGAGCAUGACCCGUCUCACUGGGACUGAGACACUGCCCAGACACCUACGGGUGGCUGCAGUCGAGAAUCUUCCGCAAUGGACGAAAGUCUGACGGAGCGACGCCGCGUGCUGGAUGAAGGCCCUCGGGUUGUAAACAGCUGUCGUAGGGGAGGAAAUUUUGACCGAUCCUAGGAGGAAGCACAGGCUAAGUUCGUGCCAGCAGCCGCGGUAAUACGAACUGUGCGAACGUUAUUCGGA
This 504-nucleotide ribosomal RNA is filed under the name uncultured Blastopirellula sp. RNAcentral describes it as "bacterial SSU rRNA". It matches the Rfam family "Bacterial small subunit ribosomal RNA", at positions 28 to 549 of the family's 1533-position model. The record is from RNAcentral. Lineage: Bacteria; Pseudomonadati; Planctomycetota; Planctomycetia; Pirellulales; Pirellulaceae.